RNAcentral lists this ribosomal RNA (253 nucleotides) under uncultured bacterium. Its description in RNAcentral is "partial 16S ribosomal RNA". It matches the Rfam family "Bacterial small subunit ribosomal RNA", at positions 524 to 776 of the family's 1533-position model. The record is from RNAcentral.
UACAGAGGGUGCGAACGUUGCUCGGAAUUACUGGGCGUAAAGCGCGUGUAGGCGGGUCGGCAAGUCAGGCGUGAAAUCCCCAGGCUCAACCUGGGAACUGCGCUUGAAACUGCCGGUCUUGAGUAUGGGAGAGGAUCGCGGAAUUCCCGGUGUAGCGGUGAAAUGCGCAGAUAUCGGGAAGAACACCCGUGGCGAAGGCGGCUCUCUGGGACGGUACUGACGCUGAGACGCGAAAGCGUGGGGAGCGAACAGG